GCUGCAUACCAGGUGUGUUGAAUUGUUCCAACAAUGAAACUACAUCUAUAACCACCAUCUGCUUAGAUUUACAGUAGUCACUGUCUUUCUUCAAGACGCAUCUUUCAUAAGGCCCAACUCACCUUCCACCUGGAUUACAUAACAAACCACUCCAAUGUCCUGAGGGUAGCAAAGCUUGCAUCUUCAAGAAAUGGAAACAAAAGCCAGUGCAGUUGAAGAUAAAGAGCAAGGAGAAGAAUGUCAGAAGAUGAGGUCAGAAAGGCAAAUUCCAAUAAAUGGACGUCCUACAAUAGACCUGACCAGUACUCCUCAAAACGGUUAAGGUUAUCAAAAAGAGGAAAGUCUGAGAAACUGUCACAGCCAAGAGGAGUCUAAGGAGGCAUGAUAAUUAAAUGUAAUGUGGUGUCCUGGAUGGGACCCUGAAACAGAAAAAGGGCAUUACGUAAACACUAAGGAGAUCUGAAUAAACUAUGAACUUUA
Molecule: long non-coding RNA, 480 nt
Filed under: Equus caballus (horse)
Lineage: Eukaryota; Metazoa; Chordata; Mammalia; Perissodactyla; Equidae
Description: lncRNA (ENSECAG00000054776.1)
Source: RNAcentral